This 2798-nucleotide ribosomal RNA is filed under the name Candida buenavistaensis. RNAcentral describes it as "large subunit ribosomal RNA". It matches the Rfam family "Bacterial large subunit ribosomal RNA". Lineage: Eukaryota; Fungi; Ascomycota; Pichiomycetes; Serinales; Debaryomycetaceae. The record is from RNAcentral.
AAGAUACCUGGAUAUUUAUAGGAGAGGUAAUUGAAAUAUCGGUUAAUUAUUAAUACCAUUUGUGUGAAUCCUUAUUCUUAAUAUUAAUAUUAUAGAUAAUAUAUCUAAUAUAAUUAGAAAUCUUAACUAGAAAUAGUAAUAAUAUAAACUUUGUGAAUUGAAACAUCUCAGUAACAAAGGAUAAAAACCAACAGGGAAGAUAUAAGUAUCGGUGAGAGAAAGUAUCUUAAGUUUAUAAGUAUCACUAAAUAGUGAGAAAAUAGCAGUACUACUGUUAAAACUAAAGAAAUUAAUAUUAGAGUAAAGUACCGAAAGGGAAAGGGUUAUAUAAAACUUUAUAUAUACAUAUAUAUUAGUUUUUUUAUAUUGAAACACUAUGGUAAAGAGCAGCUAUAGUAUAGCGUACCUCUUGUAUAAUGGGUCAGUGAGUUAAUUAUAAUAGCGUAGUUAAUAACUAAUUUAAUAAGAAUAUAGUUAUUAUAAUUAGACCCGAAAGCACAUGAUCUAUGCAUGACCAAGUUAUUAUAUAUAACAUAAUAUAUAUAUAUAUAUUAUGUAUAAUCAUAUUAUUUAAUAUGAUGUAUAUAAUAGACUAAACAGGUGGGUGUAGCAAUACCCUCUGAAGAGUUGUGCAUAGUAGUGACAGGCUAACCUGAUGUGCAGAUAGCUGGUUCUCUGUGAUAUAUAUAUUAGUAUAGCGUCUAUUAUAAAUAAUAGCCUGGUACAUCACUGAUAUCAACUAUGGAGUAAUUAAUAACUUAUAUAGUGAUAUUAAUAUCAGAACAGGUCUAAUAUUAUAAAUAAAUAGGCAGUCAGUCUAUAGGCGAUAAGGUCUAUAGACAUAAAGGGAACAACCUAGACUGUAAACCGUAGGUCCUAAACUAUAACCCAGUGUAUAUAAUCUCUGGAUUGGACAGGCCUUAAGCCCGCCCCAAUUAUAUUGGGGCGGGCGUCUUCCAGUCCCCUUAUUUUAACCAAUUAGUCAGUGGAUAUGAUAGUAAUCAUCUGCUAAUAAACGUGUAACAACGUACUAAUCUUAUAUAAUAGGGUAGAGAAUAGAUAAUCGGGACUAUGUUAUAGACCGAGUAACAGAUAUAUCUCUCCCGCCCGAUCAUCAUAGAUGAUCGGGCGGGUUAAGUAGAAUAUAUGGUAACAGAGCACUCUACUAUCAAGUAGAGAAGAAUAUGCUGACUUGAGUAACGUAAGGAAGGAUAAGCCUUCCCCCGAUAAGUAUAAGGUAUAACUACUAAAUAACGGCCCCUAAUGGUUGGGGUGACAACCCCUCCCAGAUGGGUAACACCUACUAGAAAUCAGGUCUAACCGUACUGUAGUCCGACCCUGGUAUACUUUUAUAUAUAUAUUUAUAUCUAAUAUAGUAAUUUAAAAUAAUAUUACUAUUUAUUAUAAUUAAUAUAAUUAAUUGAUAUAAUAUUAUAUUAUAUAAUAACGGGCAUGAGAUAACCCUGGUGAAUGAAUUCGGCAAAUUAAGGUUAAACCUUUAUAUAGUGCGACUGUUUACCAAAAACAUAGCCUACUGCUAUCAUGAUAAAUGACAGUAUAGUAGGUGAUACCUGCCCAGUGUGUGUUCUAUAUACAUAAAGAACAUGUCAACGGCGGUCUUACUGUGAGGAUCCGAAGGUAGCGAAGUUCCUUGGCACAUAAUUGGUGUCCUGCAUGAAUGAUUACACGACGCUAUAACUGUAUCCAUCAGGGACUCAGUGAAUUAGUAAUUGCAGUGUAGAUACUGUAUAGCAACAGGUUGACGAGAAGACCCUAUGCAGCUUUACUAUAAGGCUACUUUGUGUAUGAAUAUAUAUAUAAAUAUACAUAUUAUAUAUUAUUUAAAAUAUAUAAAAAAUAUGAUUUAGAUUGUAUAUUAUAACCACUAAUUUAUUAAUAAAAUAAUAGAGACAUAGUAGCCUGGUUAGUUUCGAUGGGGCGUCGGCAUCAUACAUUCCAACUGAUGUGUCUAUCUGACAAUAAUUGUAUAUUUAUUAAGAUACUCUCUAUAUACCCCGCCCGAUCAUCUAUGAUGAUCGGGCGGGGACCAGUAUAGAUAUAGUUCUUAAUAUUUAAUAGUAUGACUUAGUACAGUAAAGCUAGAUUGCAACUAGUUAUAUAACGUAUAGCUCAUUAUAUAUAUAUUAUAUAUAAAUAUAUCUAUAUGUUAUAAUGUUAAGUAUAAUAACUUAACUGUGCUAUGAUAAUAAGAUUAACAAAUCUAAUUAGUACGUAAGUAGAGUAUAAUGAACAGGUGAUAUCUAGAGUAAGGAGUGCCGAUAACGGAUCAAAGUUACGCUAGGGAUAACAGGGUAAUACCGCUAGAGAGUCGAUAUCGUCAGCGGUGUUUGCCACCUCGAUGUCGUCUAGGCUCAUCCUCGCGGUAGAAGCGGCUGCGAAGGGUAGGACUGUUCGUCCUCUAAGGAGCUACUUGAGAUGGGUUAACUACGGCGUGAGCCAGUAGUGUUUCUAUCAUCUGUUGCUUUUAUUUAUAUUUAGCUCUAUGUGUACGAGAGGAUUGUAGAGCACUAUCCUCUGAUUAUUAACAUAAUUCUUACCCCGCCCGUCUUCAUUGAUCAUCGGGCGGGCUAUAAUUCACUUAUUGUUAGCAGUUAAGAUAGGAGUGAUACGCAUUGAUUGCCUAUCAAAUGCUAAACCUAUAAUAUAAAUAAUUUAAUCACUAAAGAAUAUAGUGUUAUAGUUAUAUUAUCUAUUGGAUUAUAUAUCUAAUAUAUAACUUUAUAUAUAAAGUAUAAGGUUAAGUUAAUUAACAAGUGAACAAUUACCUCAUUAAAUAA